UGCUACUGACUAUUUCCCUCCUCCAAAAUAAUGAAAACCAUGACAGAUAGGUUUGCCAUUUCGAGGGAAUAUAUUGCAUAAGGUAUCCUUGACCAUAUAUUAUUAUUUCAUCUUUGAUCAAAGGCGUGUUAACAUAGCGACACUGUUACACACUUCAGAGAAACACAUAGUUGGUGGGUCCGCUUUACGCACAGGCCUCAAUGCAACCGCACUGCCUGCACUGACUAUAGUUAUUUAUAGCAUGUGGUACCAUGAUGAUGUGAAUGCAAAGCAAGCGGAAGUGAGCAGGGGAAGGGCGUAAUGACUAGAAAGACUAAUAGAAAAAAAACACAAAUAUCCGACGAGGCAAAAUCGUAGACGUCGUGACUUCUGAGAUGUCGCAUAUGUUUAUUUAAUUAAAUUGCUUAGAUUCAGCACUUCGUUUUCAGGUAAGGCGCUCUUUACAUCUACAUAGGGAAUGAUAAUAAUAAAAAUACAUUUUAUUUGUAUAGCACCUUUCAUACAAAACAAUGCAGCUCAAAGUGCUUAGCAGCAAAGAAAUUACGUGGAGAGAAAUGACAUGCACAGUGAUCCACAUAAAAAUAGACAUAAAAUAAACAUAAAACAUCAACAUACAAACUGCGAUUAAGUGCAUAAACAUAAAUAAAGUUAACAUACAAACAUAAAGAUAUACAUAAAUUACAUAACAUAAGACAUAUAAUGAAUAAAACUGCGGAGAUAUAGUUUAUCUAUCCCCUUUAAAAUGAUAUAUCAUUAUAGCUAGUCAAAGGCUAAAGUGAAGAGAUACGUUUUUAGCUUUUUUUUUCUUUUUUUUUUAAAUAGCGAGCUAGCUUCCAUGAUAUCUAAAGGCAGUGUGUUCCAUAGCUUUGGGCCGUAAUUGACAAUCCCCGAUUUUCUUAUGGCUGUUGCUGGGAACCUCCAAUAAACCAGCAUUAGAUGAUCGCAAUGUUCUUGAGGGCAAGGGAGUUUGCAAUGUAACUUGGUCCUUUUUUAUUUAUAAAUCUACUUUAGCUAUCUAAGGUGGAAAACGAUGUUUUCGUCAUCUUGUUAAUGUGGGACUUGAAGAUUAGAUCUGAAUCAAAGAUAACACCAAGACUUGUAACCUGGUAGUGAGUUGAAGUGAGUCGAAGCUUGUAUUAACCACUUGAACAACUUCCCGCCUGAGUUCCCUAUCGAAGUGUAAUACAUUUAUGUUAUCGGAGGAGUUAAACAUAGCCUACACAAACACAGAAUACACUUUUACUGUUUAUUACAAGUUAUAGUCAAUACAUAAAACCCAACCACCCAUAUUUACACUACCCCAAACACAACUGAGCCUCUCUAUGGGCGACAUAAACUAGGGGAGGGGACUGGCCAUUAACCCCGGCCUGGGGCUAACUCAAACACGCGAUCACACAAUAGUCCACAGAAGGUUAGGGCUUCUCUUCCUAAAGUGCUGCCAAGCGUUCUCUCCCGCGCCCAGAUUCAGACUGUCUUUUACAUCCUACUCCAGGAACAAUCAUACAUCCUUAACAGGCAACAGGUGUCUCACCCACCUGCAGCCGGUCAUAAUUAAUCCAUUGGCGGGGCGUGCCCACUGCGGCCAGUAAACAGAGUUAAUUAGCCUACAGAAGGCUUGAAGCUUGAAGGAAAAGACGCCACUCGUGACUUUCGAAGCCACGUUUUAGAUUAGAUGAUUAGAUUAGAUUCAACUUUAUUGUCAUUGCACAGAGUGUAACUAUAAAAUAGGGGAUAUGUGAAUGGAAUGAAACGCAAAAGGACUGUAUUACUGGUAAAUGAAAUAGGUGACAAUCGCCACAGGUCUGUCCGGUUAGAACAAGAAUGAUGUCAAUGUCCCAAUGAUGACAGAUGUAAUGAAGUAUUUAUUGCACACACACUCUCAAGCCUUGAAUGGCGGGAUGGACAUGACUGCAUGAAGAUGAACGGUGAAUACGAUUAUCUGUGUAAAGGACUCGUAUUCACACAUGAAUCCGUGAACCGUGAAUGAUAGACAUGAUUCCGUGUUUGAACGAUGAUUGAGUUAUCCGUGGUUUCUAUGGAAUGACACAAUAGCGUGGCUGCGGCAUAGCUGGUGGCAUGGGAGGAAUGAUGCUUUUUCAAGUGCUUGUUCCACUGCUAUUGGUUGCCACAGCAUCAUCUUCAGAAGAUAAAGUGUUUGUCCUGAAAGGAGGGUCCAUCGUGUUGCAGGCGGAGCAAGUGACUAGGGUUUCCUCUAUCAUCUGGAAACACAACAAGGAGAAAGCUGCAGAAUGGUUUGAGGGCGAUGAUGCGCCAACCUAUUAUAACAUAUUUCAAUAUGUAGCUACACUGGAUGAGCAAACCUGGGCCUUGACCAUCUCAGACCUCCAUCCACGUUUUAAUGGGAAAUAUUCAGCUGAGGUGAACAACAAGGACCCAACUCAGUUUGUGACCUUAACUGUACUUGGUGAGUGCUACUGGAAACGAUUUUUGUUGAAAGAUGUUUUCAAUAGAACUAAGGUGCUUGUGUGAGGAAGACAGAAACAUGACAUUUACUCAUGUAUGUAUGUAUGUGUGUAUGGAUGGAUGUUCAAGAUCUGUGCAGAUUUCUGCAGACCACUAGUGUAAGUGAUAGUUCUUCCAAUCAAAAGUUGUCAGACUGCAUGGUAUUGUGGGUUUUGGGUGUUAAAAUGUGAAGACUCUACAGAUGCUGAUG
Long non-coding RNA from Clupea harengus (Atlantic herring), 2674 nucleotides. RefSeq lists it as uncharacterized. The record is from RefSeq and is a predicted model, not a curated record. NCBI's taxonomy places the organism in Eukaryota, Metazoa, Chordata, Actinopteri, Clupeiformes, Clupeidae. The transcript has 3 exons.